GACAAGAGAGCUGUGUGAGACUUUGAGAGAGAGUCUACAAACAUUGUUUGUAUAUGUUUGUAUCUGUUCUCAUCCCUAAUCAAUAGAUAUUGAAUCUUUUGGUUACGCGUGUUCUUAUUUUACACUUUGUUUGGUUUGCACCGUCACGGGGUUUCCGCACCCGUUACCGUGUUCGUGAUAAACAAGGAUAGGUUUACGUUAUCGAUCCACCGGAACGGGACCUACAAUUGGUAUCAGAGCUUUGGCUCUAAUCCUUGUUUUAAAACCAAACAAGUUUGGGUUUUUAUCAAGUGGUUUUUGGUGAAUUUUUCAGAUUUUGUUCCUUAAAAGUUUUUAUAUUUUCUAAAAAAGGUUCAAAAAUCAGGUUUAAAUCUUUGAAAAUCUUGUGUUUUUGCUGUUUGUUCUUAUAAAAAUCUUGCUAGAUUUCAUUUUUACAUGUUUAGAAAGGAUUUUUAUUGAACAUUGUGCAAAAUCGUUGUUCGGAAAUUUUGUCGUUUGGCCGGAAUCAUCAUAAACUCAACUGAGUUCAUCUUUGUUCUUCAUUGUUCUUAAUAUAUUCUGGGCUUUUGACUUGAAUCUGCCUUGUCUCAUUUGUGUUAAUUAUUGAUGUUUGUGUCAGUGGAUAAGGUGCUUUUGAAAAAGUUGGCCAUUGUACAGUGAAAAGUGAUAAGGUGUGGUUUGAAAAAGGAUCACCAAGUUGUGUACUUGUGUCAGUGAUUGGAUUUGUUUGUUUUUUUAAAAUAUCUAAAAUCAGUUUUCGUCACACUCAUACACAUUUUCCCCACACAAUUGUCAUUUUCGUCAACCUCACAAACAUACCAGAUUUCGUUUAUCAACGUAAAUCUGUUUCGUUGACACCUAUAAUUCAUUUUCGUCGUCAAAUUCAAAUCAUUUCAGUUUCGUCGCAACUUU
RNAcentral lists this long non-coding RNA (912 nucleotides) under Helianthus annuus (common sunflower). Its description in RNAcentral is "hypothetical non coding rna". The record is from RNAcentral. Lineage: Eukaryota; Viridiplantae; Streptophyta; Magnoliopsida; Asterales; Asteraceae.